This 490-nucleotide ribosomal RNA is filed under the name uncultured bacterium. Its description in RNAcentral is "bacterial SSU rRNA". It matches the Rfam family "Bacterial small subunit ribosomal RNA", at positions 28 to 515 of the family's 1533-position model. The record is from RNAcentral.
GAUGAACGCUAGCGGCAGGCAUAAUACAUGCAAGUUGAACGGGAUUCAGAUAGCAAUAUUUGAUGAGAGUGGCGCACGGGUGCGUAACACGUAUGCAACUUACCUUAAACUGGGAGAUAGCCCGUGGAAACAUGGAUUAAUAUCCCAUAGUAUAAAGAACAGGCAUUUGUUUUUUAUUAAAGCUCCGGCGGUUUAAGAUGGGCAUGCGCGUCAUUAGCUAGAUGGAGAGGUAACGGCUCACCAUGGCAACGAUGACUAGGGGGUCUGAGAGGAUGUCCCCCCACACUGGUACUGAGACACGGGCCAGACUCCUACGGGAGGCAGCAGUAGGGAAUAUUGGGCAAUGGACGCAAGUCUGACCCAGCCAUGCCGCGUGCAGGAAGACGGCCCUCUGGGUUGUAAACUGCUUUUAUCAGGGAAGAAACCCUUCUACGUGUAGGAGGCUGACGGUACCUGAGGAAUAAGGAUCGGCUAACUCCGUGCCAGCACG